GGGGGGCGGGCUGCAGGGCGUGUUCCUGUGGGGCUGCGGGGUGCGCAGGAUGCGCGGUUUUCGGUGUGAGGGAAACGAGGUUCGAAGCCGGAGCCAGUGCAGGAUCCGCCUCUCUUCUGCACUCUGACGCUGAGACACACACAGCGCCUCCCUGAGCCGCGGUGCUACGCGGGACAGGAAGGGUCCCGUGGUCAGGACCCCAGAAGCUCCACAUCGCGGGCCAGUGGGGUUUCCAGCCUCCCUGUCCUUAUGUUCGCCCACCUCCCUCUGCCUGGGCCUUUACGCAGGCCCCUUACUCCUGGGAUUGUCCCCACUCCACUCCGGGGCCUUACCUGGCACCACCACCACCCCCUUAGCUUCAUCCCACUAUAGCUUCCGUUUUGUCAGCGCCAGUUGUCUUCUGUCACCGUGCUAAGGGCUUUACAGGACUUUCUAUUUCACUCCUUGCAACAAAUCCCAAGGUAGCCUGUUAUCCCCCAGGGCUUUCCAUUGAAGGAGCUGCAGACCCAGGCUCUGCACACCGCCUUCCUGCUCCCCAGUCCCUAGCAGAUGCCCCCACCCCAUAAUGCGGCUUUCCCUGUUGUCCAAUUGUGUCUCCCCAAGACUGGAAUUUGGGAGAAGGGCUGUCCUUAGUCGCCCCCUCUGGCACUCGGCUCACCCGGCUCAGGGAAUGGGAGUAGUGGGCAAAUGCAUCUCCAGGACACCUGCACAGGAAGCCCUUCCCGAGCCGCAGGGCCAGGAGUCAGCCCACAGGAGGGGCCCACCUAGUGGGCGGGAGAGGCCCUGGGAGAUGCGAGCUCUUCAGGGAGUCCUUCAGCAGCGGCUACCCCGCUGAGCCAGGACCGUUCAUCCUGAGCACGGGAACACCCACUGGAGGAGCGGACGCUGAGCUCUGGAUGUAUUGGCCCCCAGCCAAGCUGAGGAGAGGCCUGCGCUUGCAAAUGCUGUUGGCUACUCAGCAAGACCCAGCUUUGUCGGAAGCCCAUCUUUCCCAAGUAGCUCAGCUCACAGGCACAAUGGCCUCCAGCAGCCUAGAGCCCAGCAUGGUGCCCCCAGGCCCAUGUGGCAUACCAGCAGUUCAGUCUCCCCCUCACAAUCCUCAAGAUGACCGCCCUGAUCUGACUCUGCCAUCUCGCCCUCCUGGGGGUCCUAGGGGUAGCUGUGCACUUCCAGGUCCCCACUGCUGUGUCUUCCCUCCCAACUCCAGCCCUAUAUCCGCACUCAGGGGGGACAUGGGCCCCACUGUGUGGUGUUAGGGACCCGGGGUGGUCCCAGUGAGGCUGGGGGCCUGGCUCCCACAGAGGGGUCCUGCUCCCGUGAGCAGGAGCAGCCUCCACACCCGGGGGCAAGCAGGUGGCAGUGGUGCCCAUGCC
Heterocephalus glaber (naked mole-rat) is the source of this 1373-nucleotide long non-coding RNA. RefSeq lists it as uncharacterized. Lineage: Eukaryota; Metazoa; Chordata; Mammalia; Rodentia; Bathyergidae. The record is from RefSeq and is a predicted model, not a curated record.